This 253-nucleotide ribosomal RNA is filed under the name uncultured bacterium. Its description in RNAcentral is "partial 16S ribosomal RNA". It matches the Rfam family "Bacterial small subunit ribosomal RNA", at positions 524 to 776 of the family's 1533-position model. The record is from RNAcentral.
GACAGAGGGUGCAAACGUUGUUCGGAAUUACUGGGCGUAAAGCGCGUGUAGGCGGCCCCGCAAGUCGGAUGUGAAGUCCCACGGCUCAACCGUGGAAGUGCAUUCGAAACUGCAGGGCUAGAGUCCUGGAGAGGAAGGUGGAAUGCUUGGUGUAGAGGUGAAAUUCGUAGAUAUCAAGCGGAACACCGGUGGCGAAGGCGGCCUUCUGGACAGUGACUGACGCUGAGACGCGAAAGCGUGGGGAGCAAACAGG